This 468-nucleotide ribosomal RNA is filed under the name uncultured bacterium. RNAcentral describes it as "partial 16S ribosomal RNA". It matches the Rfam family "Bacterial small subunit ribosomal RNA", at positions 28 to 507 of the family's 1533-position model. The record is from RNAcentral.
GACGAACGCUGGCGGCGUGCUUAACACAUGCAAGUCGAACGGAAAGGCCCUGUUUUCGUGGGGUGCUCCAGUGGCGAACGGGUGAGUAACAUGUGAGUAACCUGCCCUUGACUCUGGGAUCACUUCAGGAAACUUGGGCUAAUAGCGGAUAUGACCUCCUGCUGCAUGGUGGGGGUUGGAAAGUUUCGGCGGUUGGGGAUGGACUCGCGGCUUAUCAGCUUGUUGGUGGGGUAGUGGCUUACCAAGGCUCUAACGGGUAGCCGGCCUGAGAGGGGGACCGGCCACAUUGGGAAGGAUCUAAGGGCCGGACUCCUCCGGGAGGCAGCACAGGGGGAUAUUGCACUAUGGGCGGAAGCCUGCUGCAGCAACGCCGCGUGCGGGAUGACAGCCUUCGGGUUGUAAACCGCUUUCGCCUGUGUCGAAGGGUGAGUGACGGUAAUGGGUAAAGAAGCACCGGCUAACUACGUG